CGGGGUAUGGCGCAGUUGGUAGCGCACCUGCUUUGGGAGCAGGGGGUCGCCAGUUCGAAUCCGGCUGCCCCGACCA
This 76-nucleotide transfer RNA is filed under the name Dialister invisus. Its description in RNAcentral is "tRNA-Pro". It matches the Rfam family "tRNA". From Rfam's summary of the family: Transfer RNA (tRNA) molecules are approximately 80 nucleotides in length. Their secondary structure includes four short double-helical elements and three loops (D, anti-codon, and T loops). Lineage: Bacteria; Bacillati; Bacillota; Negativicutes; Veillonellales; Veillonellaceae. The record is from RNAcentral.